CUUCUCUGUGGCCAGCUCAUGAGGUGCUGAUGGGAAGAGGAACUUGAAGUUACAUCUGCAAUGAACUGGGGGCAAGCAAACCCCAGCAAAAACUCAUGCAUCAAGAUGUUCUUCACGGCACAUGUUCCCUUAACGGUUUGGCUUUUAGUACACAUGGGAAUAGGAGUACAUUUUGGGAGCUCAAAUGCUUGCAUCAAAAAACAGUUGAGUAGCAUUGCUCUCUCUCGCUCUCUAACAAAUAUUCUGUUUAUGUAUUAGGCUAAAACAUUGUUAAGAACCACUCAUCAGAAUUCCUAAUUGUAUAUCACUCUUCAGCACCGAUACAUAGAUUUACCUACUAGGAACUGCAUAUUGACUGUGGGGCCUAUUGCUGCAGCAAUUGUAAUUGCAGAUAAACAGACAGGCUGAAUUAUCUCUAAAGAACCUGCAUUGAUAUUGACAAAGGAACUACU
Non-coding RNA from Zootoca vivipara (common lizard), 452 nucleotides. NCBI's taxonomy places the organism in Eukaryota, Metazoa, Chordata, Lepidosauria, Squamata, Lacertidae. The record is from RefSeq and is a predicted model, not a curated record.